This 507-nucleotide ribosomal RNA is filed under the name uncultured bacterium. RNAcentral's name for it is "bacterial SSU rRNA". It matches the Rfam family "Bacterial small subunit ribosomal RNA", at positions 501 to 1009 of the family's 1533-position model. The record is from RNAcentral.
CUACGUGCCAGCAGCCGCGGUAAUACGGAGGGUGCAAACGUUAAUCGGAAUUACUGGGCGUAAAGCGCACGCAGGCGGUUUGUUAAGUCAGAUGUGAAAUCCCCGCGCUUAACGUGGGAACUGCAUUUGAAACUGGCAAGCUAGAGUCUUGUAGAGGGGGGUAGAAUUCCAGGUGUAGCGGUGAAAUGCGUAGAGAUGUGGAGGAAUACCGAAGGCGAAGGCAGCCCCUUGGGAAUGUACUGACGCUCAUGUGCGAAAGCGUGGGGAGCAAACAGGAUUAGAUACCCUGGUAGUCCACGCUGUAAACGAUGUCGAUUUGGGGGUUGAGCUUUAAGCUUGGCGCCCGUAGCUAACGUGAUAAAUCGACCGCCUGGGGAGUACGGCCGCAAGGUUAAAACUCAAAUGAAUUGACGGGGGCCCGCACAAGCGGUGGAGCAUGUGGUUUAAUUCGAUGCAACGCGAAGAACCUUACCUACUCUUGACAUCCAGAGAAUUCGCUAGAGAUAG